Molecule: ribosomal RNA, 253 nt
Filed under: uncultured bacterium
Lineage: Bacteria
Description: partial 16S ribosomal RNA
Rfam family: Bacterial small subunit ribosomal RNA
Source: RNAcentral
CACGUAGGGCGCAAGCGUUGUCCGGAAUUAUUGGGCGUAAAGAGCUCGUAGGCGGUCUGUUGCGUCCGCUGUGAAAACUCGGGGCUUAACCCCGAGCCUGCAGUGGAUACGGGCAGACUAGAGGUAGGUAGGGGAGAAUGGAAUUCCCGGUGUAGCGGUGAAAUGCGCAGAUAUCGGGAGGAACACCAGUGGCGAAGGCGGCCCGCUGGACAUGUAUUGACGCUGAGGUGCGAAAGCGUGGGGAGCAAACAGG